AGUUGAUUUUGCAAUGGAAAAGCUCGAUGUGGAUGCUUCAAUUGAUGAAAGAGUAGACUUCAUUAUUGCUACCCAGGUAGCUGCAGAUUUUAAUGAGGAAACAAAUGACAAGCUUGACAAUGAUGCAGAAAUAAAUGAGGAUUUUAGUAAUGAAAUUUUGUUUGGGACUAUGGAGAAAACACUUCGUUUGCUUGAAAUGGGUUUCUCUGA
This 210-nucleotide unclassified non-coding RNA is filed under the name Hevea brasiliensis (rubber tree). Lineage: Eukaryota; Viridiplantae; Streptophyta; Magnoliopsida; Malpighiales; Euphorbiaceae. The record is from RNAcentral.